UACGAAGGGGGCUAGCGUUGUUCGGAUUUACUGGGCGUAAAGCGCGUGUAGGCGGGUCGUUAAGUUGGAGGUGAAAUCCCGAGGCUCAACCUCGGAACUGCCUUCAAAACUGGCGACCUGGACUCAAGUAGAGGCAAGUGGAAUUGCGAGUGUAGAGGUGAAAUUCGUAGAUAUUCGCAGGAACACCAGUGGCGAAGGCGACUUGCUGGACUUGUAGUGACGCUGAGAAGCGAAAGCGUGGGGAGCAAACAGG
RNAcentral lists this ribosomal RNA (253 nucleotides) under uncultured bacterium. Its description in RNAcentral is "partial 16S ribosomal RNA". It matches the Rfam family "Bacterial small subunit ribosomal RNA", at positions 524 to 776 of the family's 1533-position model. The record is from RNAcentral.